ACGGCUCAGUAACACGUGGAUAACCUGCCCUUGGGUCCGGCAUAACCCCGGGAAACUGGGGAUAAUUCCGGAUAACGCACAUAUGCUGGAAUGCUUUAUGCGUCAAAUGGAUUCGUCUGCCCAAGGAUGGGUCUGCGGCCUAUCAGGUAGUAGUGGGUGUAAUGUACCUACUAGCCGACGACGGGUACGGGUUGUGAGAGCAAGAGCCCGGAGAUGGAUUCUGAGACAUGAAUCCAGGCCCUACGGGGCGCAGCAGGCGCGAAAACUUUACAAUGCGGGAAACCGUGAUAAGGGGACACCGAGUGCCAGCGUCCUACGCUGGCUGUCCAGGUGUGUAAAAUACACCUGUUAGCAAGGGCCGGGCAAGACCGGUGCCAGCCGCCGCGGUAACACCGGCGGCCCGAGUGGUGAUCGUGAUUAUUGGGUCUAAAGGGUCCGUAGCCGGUUUGGUCAGUCCUCCGGGAAAUCUGAUAGCUCAACUAUUAGGCUUUCGGGGGAUACUGCCAGACUUGGAACCGGGAGAGGUAAGAGGUACUACAGGGGUAGGAGUGAAAUCUUGUAAUCCCUGUGGGACCACCUGUGGCGAAGGCGUCUUACCAGAACGGGUUCGACGGUGAGGGACGAAAGCUGGGGGCACGAACCGGAUUAGAUACCCGGGUAGUCCCAGCCGUAAACGAUGCUCGCUAGGUGUCACGCAUGGCGCGACCGUGUCUGGUGCCGCAGGGAAGCCGUGAAGCGAGCCACCUGGGAAGUACGGCCGCAAGGCUGAAACUUAAAGGAAUUGGCGGGGGAG
This 793-nucleotide ribosomal RNA is filed under the name uncultured archaeon. Its description in RNAcentral is "bacterial SSU rRNA". It matches the Rfam family "Archaeal small subunit ribosomal RNA", at positions 85 to 876 of the family's 1478-position model. The record is from RNAcentral.